GGUAAGCCCUGCCCAGUGAAAUUUUAACGGCCGCAGUACCCUGACUGUGCUAAGGUAGCGUAAUCAGUUGGCUUUUAAAUGGAGUCGAGAAUGAAUGGGUCCAUGGGGGAUCGCUGUUUCUAGCCUGAGUAAUUGAACUUGGCUAGCGGGUGAAAAUGCCCGCGGGAAAGAAGAAAGACGAGAAGACCCUUAGAAUCUGAACAAGAUUAGCAUUAGAUCUAAUAAGUUUUUGUUGGGGCGACAACGAGGCAGAAGCAACUAAACCCUCGCAAAAUAAGGUUAGACAAGACGAUGCUUAUAAGUAGGACUAGAUUACCUUAGGGAUAACAGCAUAAUUUUUAUAAGCUUGUGACCUCGAUGUUGGACUAGGGACCUUAUGACUAGCCGUCACAAUGG
Molecule: ribosomal RNA, 396 nt
Filed under: Laemodonta octanfracta
Lineage: Eukaryota; Metazoa; Mollusca; Gastropoda; Ellobiida; Ellobiidae
Description: partial 16S ribosomal RNA
Rfam family: Archaeal large subunit ribosomal RNA
Source: RNAcentral